UACGUAGGUGGCAAGCGUUGUCCGGAUUUACUGGGCGUAAAGAGCGCGCAGGCGGUCGUCCAAGUCGCGUGUGAAAGCCCCCGGCUCAACUGGGGAGGGUCACGCGAUACUGAUCGACUCGAAGGCAGGAGAGGGUAGUGGAAUUCCCGGUGUAGUGGUGAAAUGCGUAGAUAUUGGGAAGAACACCAGUGGCGAAGGCGGCUAACUGGUCCAGAUCUGACGCUGAGGUGCGAAAGCGUGGGGAGCAAACAGG
RNAcentral lists this ribosomal RNA (253 nucleotides) under uncultured bacterium. RNAcentral's name for it is "partial 16S ribosomal RNA". It matches the Rfam family "Bacterial small subunit ribosomal RNA", at positions 524 to 776 of the family's 1533-position model. The record is from RNAcentral.